GCUGGCGGCGCGCUUAACACAUGCAAGUCGAACGAGAAAGUGGAGCAAUCCAUGAGUAAAGUGGCGUACGGGUGAGUAACACGUGGAUCAUCUGCCCUAGAGUGGGGAAUAACGAUGGGAAACCGUCGCUAAUACCGCAUAAUCCCGAGAGGGGAAAGCCGAAAGGCGCUCAAGGAGGAGUCCGCGGCCGAUUAGCUUGUUGGUAGGGUAAUGGCCUACCAAGGCUGCGAUCGGUAGCCGGCCUGAGAGGGCACACGGCCACACUGGCACUGAAACACGGGCCAGACUCCUACGGGAGGCAGCAGUGGGGAAUCUUGCACAAUGGGGGAAACCCUGAUGCAGCGACGCCGCGUGAGCGAUGAAGCCCUUCGGGGUGUAAAGCUCUUUCGUCAGGGAAGAUUAUGACGGUACCUGGAGAAGCAGCUGCGGCUAACUACGUGCCAGCAGCCCCGGUAAUACGUANGCAGCAAGCGUUGUUCGGAGUUACUGGGCGUAAAGGGUGUGUAAGCGGCCUUCUAAGUUUUGGUGUGAAAUCUCCCGGCUCAACCGGGAGGGUGCGCC
RNAcentral lists this ribosomal RNA (561 nucleotides) under uncultured soil bacterium. RNAcentral describes it as "bacterial SSU rRNA". It matches the Rfam family "Bacterial small subunit ribosomal RNA", at positions 35 to 627 of the family's 1533-position model. The record is from RNAcentral.